GGCCGAAUAGCUCAGUUGGUUAGAGCGUCGAGCUAAUAGGUCUAAUACAUCUGGUACUCGAAGGUCUUGGGUUCGACCCCCACUUUGGCCA
Molecule: non-coding RNA, 91 nt
Organism: Gautieria morchelliformis
Lineage: Eukaryota; Fungi; Basidiomycota; Agaricomycetes; Gomphales; Gomphaceae
Source: the annotation of a GenBank genome assembly